UCCAAUAAAAUUUAGUAAAUUUAUUACUUUCUUAUAAAAUUAUUGAAAUUAACUAUUAGUUAUGUUUUUUUUACGAAAAGGGCAAUAGCCCGAUCAAUGUAUUAAUGAUGAAUCAAUGAUGAUUAUAAGAAGUUCAAACACAUUAAUGAGUCUAAAUGGAAGGUGUAAACUCACAAACGAAGAUAUAUGGAGCAACGGUCGUUAUCAGAAGCAUAACUAGACCCUUUUCCUUACUCUCCUAACAAAUUAACACCAAAACCAGCUAAUCUAGACACUUGAAAAAAUCCAAAAUCAAACAAAAAUAGAUAAAAUCAUCUGAAAUGAAAAGCAACCAAAAUGGAAAACAAAAUCCGAACAAGCCGAGUCUAUUAAUCGAAAGAAAGAAAUUGAGGUAGAAAACUGUGGUCGUCGACUGUUGUCUGCAUAAGGUGACUCGCCUCCACAGUGUCGUUGUGAUUUAUGCCAAUGGGCAGACCGCUGAAGGCUGACCUACCUAUACCCCGGUUGUGACGCCAGAGCGAUUCAUCUUGGAGGAUUUCGAUGAUUUGUGACCGGCGGUAUUAUCAGUGUCAUGGCGCAACGGCUGCUUAUCGUCCUAGAUGUGCGUCUCUUCGUCGUCGCUUUCCUCCAAGGAUAGGUCCAUGAAUGAACGUGCAAGGAGGUUGUAUGACAGCGGCUUCAGAUCUGAAUAUGAGGCGUUAUGGUCGGCAGAUCCGAGCUAAUGGGCGGUGGAGAAGCGAGUGGAAGCGAGCGUGGAAGCGGCAGAUCUAAGCUGAUGGGCGAUGGAGAUGGUGAGUGGAAGCGCGAGUGGAAACGGCGGAUAUGAGCUGAUGGGCGAUGGAGAUGGUGUGUGGAAUCUGCGGAUCUGGGCUAGUGGGCAAUAGAGGUGGCGAGUGGAGGCGGCGGACCGAGUGGUUGGGCAAUGGAGGCACCGAACCGUGCUGUUGGGUGAGUGGAUACGAUGGGCCGAGAGCUACUAGGCGACGGAGGUGGUGAGUGAAAUUGAUGGAGAACCCUUAAACAUUAGGGAGAAAAGAAAACCCUUAAAUAUUAGGGAAGGAAAAUCCUAAAUUACCUAGUCUAGCUCUUUUGUUCUUGCAACUAUUUUUUCUUACAAUGACAAAACUUCUUAUUAAGCAUAUAACUAGAAUCGUGCAAACUUAGUGUUUGAGAGUCUCUGCCCAUAUUUG
This 1190-nucleotide long non-coding RNA is filed under the name Linum usitatissimum (flax). RNAcentral describes it as "long non-coding RNA (LUSI_LNC006310)". The record is from RNAcentral. Lineage: Eukaryota; Viridiplantae; Streptophyta; Magnoliopsida; Malpighiales; Linaceae.